RNAcentral lists this long non-coding RNA (342 nucleotides) under Malus domestica (apple). Its description in RNAcentral is "long non-coding RNA (MDOM_LNC001094)". Lineage: Eukaryota; Viridiplantae; Streptophyta; Magnoliopsida; Rosales; Rosaceae. The record is from RNAcentral.
GGUUGCCAUGUCAACAAGGAGCGGAAUGCUAUAACUUCUUGGUGUGUUUGAACGCCAAGGAUUUUAGGUUAUCAGGUUAUCAAAGAGGCUGUGCUCUGAUACCAUGUGAAAACCUGCUAUGUAACUUGUUUUCAUUAAUUGAGUUGAAAGUAAUUGGUACAAAGAGAGACUUAUACAAAUACAUGGAUCAAUCAAGAUCCUGAAAUUAAGGCAUAUACAAGUUAUUACGUGAGUUAGCCCAGGUUUGGUACUGAAGUGAUUCUGAAAAAAAAAAAAAAGUGGGUAUAAAAAAAAACUAGGAGUUUUUUUAUGUUUGGUAAACAUUCAGCUUCAGCUUUUUUU